GAUGAACGCUGGCGGCGUGCCUAAUACAUGCAAGUCGAGCGAACAGAUGAGGAGCUUGCUCCUCUGACGUUAGCGGCGGACGGGUGAGUAACACGUGGAUAACCUACCUAUAAGACUGGGAUAACUUCGGGAAACCGGAGCUAAUACCGGAUAAUAUAUUGAACCGCAUUGUUCAAUAGUGAAAGACGGUUUUGCUGUCACUUAUCGAUGGAUCCGCGCCGCAUUAGCUAGUUGGUAAGGUAACGGCUUACCAAGGCAACGAUGCGUAGCCGACCGGAGAGGGUGAUCGGCCACACUGGAACUUAGACACGGUCCAGACUCCUACGGGAGGCAGCAGUAGGGAAUCUUCCGCAAUGGGCGAAAGCCUGACGGAGCAACGCCGCGUGAGUGAUGAAGGUCUUCGGAUCGUAAAACUCUGUUAUUAGGGAAGAACAAAUGUGUAAGUAACUAUGCACGUCUUGACGGUACCUAAUCAGAAAGCCACGGCUAACUACGUG
RNAcentral lists this ribosomal RNA (497 nucleotides) under uncultured bacterium. RNAcentral describes it as "partial 16S ribosomal RNA". It matches the Rfam family "Bacterial small subunit ribosomal RNA", at positions 28 to 507 of the family's 1533-position model. The record is from RNAcentral.